CAGAUUAAGCCAUGCAUGUCUUAGCAUGCGCUGAAGUAAAGUGAAGCCGCGAAUAGCUCAUUACAACAGCCGUUGUUUCUUGGAUUGAACCUCUACUUGGAUAACUGUGGUAAUUCUAGAGCUAAUACAUGCAACAAAGCUCCGACCGUAAGGAACGGGCGCAUUUAUUAGAACAAGGCCAUCCGGCUUCGGCCGUUCUUUGGUGACUCUGAAUAACUCAGCGGAUCGCAUGGGCUCGUCCCGGCGACGAAUCUUUCAAGUGUCUGCCUUAUCAACUUUCGACGGUAGUUUAUGUGACUACCAUGGUUGUAACGGGUAACGGAGAAUCAGGGUUUGACUCCGGAGAGGGAGCCUGAGAAACGGCUACCACUUCUAAGGAAGGCAGCAGGCGCCAAAUUACACAAUCUCAGUACGAGGAUGUAGUGACGAAACAUACCGAGGCGAUGCCCUUUCGGGUGUCGUCAUUGGAAUGGGCUGAAUUUAAAACGUUCAGUGAGGAUCUAGUGGAGGGCAAGUCUGGUGCCAGCAGCCGCGGUAAUUCCAGCUCCGCAAGUGUAUAUCUAUGCUGUUGCGGUUAAAAAGCUCGUAGUUUGAUUCGCGUACUUAGCACGCAGUGUGGCCUUUCGGCUACUACUGUGAUGCGGUACAUUAUCGUCAGUUUGUCGUUGAUGCUCUUCAUUGGGUUGCAGGCGGCGGCUGUCAAGUUUACUUUGAACAAAUUAAAGUGCUCAAAACAGGCGUUUCGCUUGUAUAGUUUUGCAUGGAAUAAUAGAAUAGGACUUACGUUCUAUUUUGUUGGUUUUCAGAACGAAAGUAAUGAUUAAGAGGGACAGAUGGGGUCAUUCGUACUGCCACGUUAGAGGUGAAAUUCUUGGAUCGUGGCAAGACGAACUACUGCGAAAGCAUUUGACAAAAAUGUUUUCAUUAAUCAAGAACGAAAGUUAUGGGUUCGAAGGCGAUCAGAUACCGCCCUAGUCAUAACCGUAAACGAUAUAGACUAGGCGUCUGCUCGGGUUUACUUUGACCGAGUAGAAAGCUUCCCGGGAAACGAAAGUCUUCGUAUUCCGGGGGAAGUAUAGCUGCAAAGCCGAAACUUAAAGGAAUUGACGGAAGGGCACCACCAGGGGUGGAGCCUGCGGCUUAAUUUGACUCAACACGGGGAAACUCACCCGGCCCGGACACAUGUAGCAUCGACAACAUCAUAGCGUUUUCUUGAUUUGGUGGGUGGUCGUGCAUGGCCGUUCUGAGUGGACGUCGUCAUUUGUCUGGCUAAUUCCGAUAACGAACGAGACUCUAACCUGCUAACGAGUGUACAGAUCAUUAUGUCUGUCAUAACUUCUUAGAGGGACAAACGGUGUUCAGCCGUAUGAAAGAGAGCAAUAACAGGUCUGUGAUGCCCUUAGAUGUCCGGGGCUGCACGCGCGCUACACUGCAAAAAUCAGCGUGUGGGGUCACCUGACCCGAAAGGGCUGGGUAAUCCGGUGAAAAUUCUGCGUGAUUGGGAUCGGGACUUGCAAUUAUUUCCCUUGAACGAGGAAUCCCUAGUAAGUGCAGGUCAUCAGCUUGCGCUGAUUACGUCCCUGCCCUUUGCACACACCGCCCGUCGCUGCCCGGAACUGAACCAGUUCGAGAAAACUGGGGACUGACAACUUGAGGUGCGCAAGCAUUACUUGCAGAUGGAAACGAUCUUGAUCGGUAUGGCUUGAACCGGGCAAAAGUCGUAACAAGGUUUCCGUAGGUGAACCU
Molecule: ribosomal RNA, 1746 nt
Filed under: uncultured eukaryote
Lineage: Eukaryota
Description: partial small subunit ribosomal RNA
Rfam family: Eukaryotic small subunit ribosomal RNA
Source: RNAcentral